Molecule: ribosomal RNA, 445 nt
Filed under: uncultured bacterium
Lineage: Bacteria
Description: bacterial SSU rRNA
Rfam family: Bacterial small subunit ribosomal RNA
Source: RNAcentral
GUAAGGAAUAUUGGACAAUGGGCGAGAGCCUGAUCCAGCCAUGCCGCGUGCAGGAAGACGGACCUAUGGUUUGUAAACUGCUUUUGAACGAGAGAAAACCCGGGUACGUGUACCCGGCUGAUAGUAUCGUUAGAAUAAGCAUCGGCUAACUUCGUGCCAGCAGCCGCGGUAAGACGAAGGAUGCAAGCGUUAUCCGGAUUCAUUGGGUUUAAAGGGAGCGUAGGCGGACUUGUAAGUCAGUGGUGAAAUCUGUGGGCUUAACCCACAAACUGCCAUUGAUACUGCAGGUCUAGAGUACAGUUGCCGUUGGCGGAAUAUGACAUGUAGUGGUGAAAUACUUAGAUAUGUCAUAGAACACCGAUUGCGAAGGCAGCUAACGAAGCUGUAACUGACGCUGAGGCUCGAAAGUGCGGGGAUCAAACAGGAUUAGAAACCCCUGUAGUCC